Molecule: ribosomal RNA, 239 nt
Filed under: uncultured bacterium
Lineage: Bacteria
Description: partial 16S ribosomal RNA
Rfam family: Bacterial small subunit ribosomal RNA
Source: RNAcentral
UACGAAGGGGGCUAGCGUUGCUCGGAAUGACUGGGCGUAAAGGGCGCGUAGGCGGUUCAUACAGUCAGAUGUGAAAUUCCUGGGCUCAACCUGGGAAUGGCAUUGGAAACUGGCGGACUCGAGUGUGGCAGAGGGGGGUGGAAGUUCCGCGUGUAGCAGUGAAAUGCGUAGAGAUGCGGAGGAACACCGAUGGCGCAAGGCAGCCCCCCUGGGACGUAACACUGACGCUCAGGCACGAA